This 468-nucleotide ribosomal RNA is filed under the name uncultured bacterium. Its description in RNAcentral is "partial 16S ribosomal RNA". It matches the Rfam family "Bacterial small subunit ribosomal RNA", at positions 28 to 507 of the family's 1533-position model. The record is from RNAcentral.
AACGAACGCUGGCGGCGUGCUUAACACAUGCAAGUCGAACGGAAAGGCCCUGCUUUUGUGGUGUGCUCGAGUGGCGAACGGGGAAGUAACACGUGAGUAACCUGCCCUUUACUUUGGGAUAACUUCAGGAAACUGGGGCUAAUACCGGAUAGGAGCUCCUUCUGCAUGGUGGGCGUUGGAAAGUUUCGGCGGUUGGGGAUGGACGCGCGGCUUACCAGCUUGUUGGUGGGGUAGUGGCUUACCAAGGCUUUGACGGGUCGCCGGCCUGAGAGGGUGACCGGCGACAUUGGGACUGAGAUACGGCCCAGACUCCUACGGGAGGCAGUAGUGGGGAAUAUUGUACAAUGGGCGGAAGCCUGAUGCAGAAACGCCGCGUGCGGGAUGACGGCCUUCGGGUUGUAAACCGCUUUCGCCUGUGACGAAGCGUGAGUGACGGUAAUGGGUAAAGAAGCACCGGCUAACUACGUG